Molecule: ribosomal RNA, 301 nt
Filed under: uncultured bacterium
Lineage: Bacteria
Description: partial 16S ribosomal RNA
Rfam family: Bacterial small subunit ribosomal RNA
Source: RNAcentral
CAGUAGCCGCGGUAAUACGAAGGGGGCUAGCGUUGUUCGGAUUUACUGGGCGUAAAGCGCACGUAGGCGGACUUUUAAGUCAGGGGUGAAAUCCCGGGGCUCAACCCCGGAACUGCCUUUGAUACUGGAAGUCUUGAGUAUGGUAGAGGUGAGUGGAAUUCCGAGUGUAGAGGUGAAAUUCGUAGAUAUUCGGAGGAACACCAGUGGCGAAGGCGGCUCACUGGACCAUUACUGACGCUGAGGUGCGAAAGCGUGGGGAGCAAACAGGAUUAGAUACCCGAGUAGUCCCUGUCUCUUAUAC